RNAcentral lists this ribosomal RNA (724 nucleotides) under Hariotina sp. MMOGRB0030F. RNAcentral describes it as "16S ribosomal RNA". It matches the Rfam family "Bacterial small subunit ribosomal RNA", at positions 229 to 956 of the family's 1533-position model. Lineage: Eukaryota; Viridiplantae; Chlorophyta; Chlorophyceae; Sphaeropleales; Scenedesmaceae. The record is from RNAcentral.
AUCUGGUAUGGAUUAGGUAGUUGGAAAAUUGUCCAAGCCAAAGAUCCAUAGCCUUCCUUGUUGGGGGAUUGGCCACAGUGGGACUGCAACACGGCCCAUCCACAUGAGUGGCAGCAGUGGAGAAUAUUUGACAAUGAGCGAAAGCUUGAUCGAGCAUUUCUGUAGAAGGUAUGAAAUUCAUAGAAUUCAUUCAUAAGGAGAAGGCAGAUUGUCGAAACCCUUAUUUAUUUUCUUAUUUAAAAAUGAAGAAUAGAAAAUAAAAUCCCUGGCAAACUCUGUGCCAGCCGCCGCGGUAAGACAGAGAGGGAAAGUGUUGAGCAAAUGGACUGGGUAUAAAAUACGGGUAGGUUGUUCAUAAAUUAUUUUUGAAAUUGUGUGAUUGAUCAAACAAACAAAAAUAAAUAAGAGAACUGGAAUAAUGAUUUGGAUAAGGGAAUGGCCCAAGUAUUGGUAGAAUAAAAAAAUAUGGGUUGGAACGUCUUGAGCGAAGGCACUUAUCUGGUCAUUUAUUAACACUGAGCCGUGGAAGUGUGGAGAACAAAUGGGAUUAGAUACCCCAGUAGCCCACACCGUCAACAAUGAAUGCUUUGGGAGAAAACCAGCAAAAGAAAUUCCAUAUGUGAAAGCAAAAGCAUUCUACCUGGGGAGUAUUGUCGCAAGGCAGAAACUCAAAAGAAUUGACUGCUAGAGAGAACAAUGGUGGAGUAUUGGGGUUUAAUAGAAA